This 490-nucleotide ribosomal RNA is filed under the name uncultured bacterium. RNAcentral's name for it is "partial 16S ribosomal RNA". It matches the Rfam family "Bacterial small subunit ribosomal RNA", at positions 28 to 507 of the family's 1533-position model. The record is from RNAcentral.
GAUGAACGCUAGCUACAGGCUUAACACAUGCAAGUCGCGGGGCAGCAUGGGGGUUGCUUGCAAUCCCCGAUGGCGACCGGCGCACGGGUGAGUAACGCGUAUCCAACCUGCCCUUCACCACGGGAUAACCCGGCGAAAGUCGGACUAAUACCGUAUGUUGUCCAUUGACGGCAUCCGAUUUGGACGAAAGGCUUGGCGGUGAGGGAUGGGGAUGCGUCCGAUUAGCCAGACGGCGGGGUAACGGCCCACCGUGGCUACGAUCGGUAGGGGUUCUGGGAGGAAGGUCCCCCACACUGGAACUGAGACACGGUCCAGACUCCUACGGGAGGCAGCAGUGAGGAAUAUUGGUCAAUGGGCGUAAGCCUGAACCAGCCAAGUAGCGUGCAGGAUGACGGCCCUAUGGGUUGUAAACUGCUUUUAUGCGGGGAUAAAGUGGCCCACGUGUGGGCUUUUGCAGGUACCGCAUGAAUAAGGACCGGCUAAUUCCGUG